AUAGCGUAUAUUAAAGUUGUUGCAGUUAAAAAGCUCGUAGUUGAACCUUGGGUCUGGGUGACCGGUCUGCCUCACCGCAUGCACUGGGAACCCGGACCUUUCCUUCUGGCAAACCUCAUGCCCUUCACUGGGUGUGUUGGGGAACCAGGACUUUUACUUUGAAAAAAUUAGAGUGUUUAAAGCAGGCAUUCGCUUGAAUACAUUAGCAUGGAAUAAUAGAAUAGGACUUUGGUUCUAUUUUGUUGGUUUCUAGGACCGAAGUAAUGAUUAAUAGGGAUAGUUGGGGGCAUUAGUAUUUAAUUGUCAGAGGUGAAAUUCUUGGAUUUAUUAAAGACUAACUUCUG
Molecule: ribosomal RNA, 344 nt
Filed under: uncultured eukaryote
Lineage: Eukaryota
Description: SSU rRNA
Rfam family: Eukaryotic small subunit ribosomal RNA
Source: RNAcentral